AUCAACUUUCGAUGGUAGGAUAGAGGCCUACNUGNNNNUAACGGGUAACGGGGUGUUAGGGCACGACACCGGAGAGGGAGCCUGAGAAACGGCUACCACAUCCAAGGAUGGCAGCAGGCGCGCAAAUUACCCAAUCCCGACACGGGGAGGUAGUGACAAUAAAUAACAAUACGGGGUUCUUUAGGAUCUCGUAAUUGGAAUGAGUACAAUUUAAAUCUCUUAACGAGGAACAAUUGGAGGGCAAGUCUGGUGCCAGCAGCCGCGGUAAUUCCAGCUCCAAUAGCGUAUAUUAAAGUUGUUGCAGUUAAAAAGCUCGUAGUUGAAUUUCGAGAUCGGCUUACUGGUCGUGCUAUUGUACGUACUGGUAUAAUCGGUUUCUCCUUUCUGACGAACUAUAAUGCCAUUAAUUUGGUGUUUUAGGGAAUCAGGACUGUUACUUUGAAAAAAUUAGAGUGUUUAAAGCAGGCUCACGCUUGAAUACAUUAGCAUGGAAUAACGGAAUAGGACGUUUGAUUCUAUUUUGUUGGUUUCUAGGAUCGACGUAAUGAUUAAUAGGGAUAGUUGGGGGCAUUAGUAUUCAAUUGUCAGAGGUGAAAUUCUUGGAUUUAUUGAAGACUAACUACUGCGAAAGCAUUUGCCAAGGAUGUUUUCAUUAAUCAAGAACGAAAGUUAGGGGAUCGAAGACGAUCAGAUACCGUCGUAGUCUUAACCAUAAACUAUGCCGACUAGGGAUCGGAUGAUGUUAAUUUUUUAAUGACUCAUUCGGCGCCUUACGGGAAACCAAAGUGUUUGGGUUC
This 797-nucleotide ribosomal RNA is filed under the name uncultured Glomus. RNAcentral describes it as "SSU rRNA". It matches the Rfam family "Eukaryotic small subunit ribosomal RNA", at positions 314 to 1114 of the family's 1831-position model. The record is from RNAcentral. Lineage: Eukaryota; Fungi; Glomeromycota; Glomeromycetes; Glomerales; Glomeraceae.